RNAcentral lists this ribosomal RNA (465 nucleotides) under uncultured Veillonella sp. Its description in RNAcentral is "bacterial SSU rRNA". It matches the Rfam family "Bacterial small subunit ribosomal RNA", at positions 338 to 795 of the family's 1533-position model. The record is from RNAcentral. Lineage: Bacteria; Bacillati; Bacillota; Negativicutes; Veillonellales; Veillonellaceae.
CCUACGGGUGGCAGCAGUGGGGAAUCUUCCGCAAUGGACGAAAGUCUGACGGAGCAACGCCGCGUGAGUGAUGACGGCCUUCGGGUUGUAAAGCUCUGUUAAUCGGGACGAAUGGUUCUUGUGCAAAUAGUGCGAGGAUUUGACGGUACCGGAAUAGAAAGCCACGGCUAACUACGUGCCAGCAGCCGCGGUAAUACGUAGGUGGCAAGCGUUGUCCGGAAUUAUUGGGCGUAAAGCGCGCGCAGGCGGAUUGGUCAGUCUGUCUUAAAAGUUCGGGGCUUAACCCCGUGAUGGGAUGGAAACUGCCAAUCUAGAGUAUCGGAGAGGAAAGUGGAAUUCCUAGUGUAGCGGUGAAAUGCGUAGAGAUUAGGAGGAACACCAGUGGCGAAGGCGACUUUCUGGACGAAAACUGACGCUGAGGCGCGAAAGCCAGGGGAGCGAACGGGAUUAGAUACCCGGGUAGUC